RNAcentral lists this ribosomal RNA (253 nucleotides) under uncultured bacterium. Its description in RNAcentral is "partial 16S ribosomal RNA". It matches the Rfam family "Bacterial small subunit ribosomal RNA", at positions 524 to 776 of the family's 1533-position model. The record is from RNAcentral.
UACGUAGGGAGCAAGCGUUGUCCGGAAUCAUUGGGCGUAAAGCGCGCGUAGGUGGCCACAUAAGUCCGUUGUGAAAGUCAAAGGCUCAACCUUUGAAAGCCGAUGGAUACUGUGUGGCUAGAGUACGGAAGAGGCGAGUGGAAUUCCUGGUGUAGCGGUGGAAUGCGCAGAUAUCAGGAGGAACACCAAUAGCGAAGGCAGCUCGCUGGGACGUUACUGACACUGAGGCGCGAAAGCGUGGGGAGAGAACAGG